UCGAGAAUUUUUCACAAUGGGCGAAAGCCUGAUGGAGCGACGCCGCGUGGGGGAUGAAGGGCUUCGGUCCGUAAACCCCUGUCAUUCGGGAUCAACCCCUGAGUCCUAACACGGCUCAGGCUGAUAGUACCGGAAGAGGAAGGGACGGCUAACUCUGUGCCAGCAGCCGCGGUAAUACAGAGGUCCCAAGCGUUGUUCGGAUUCACUGGGCGUAAAGGGUGCGUAGGUGGUGGGACAAGUUCGAUGUGAAAUCUCCGGGCUCAACCCGGAAACUGCAUUGAAAACUGUUCUGCUUGAGGGUCGGAGGGGAGACUGGAAUUCUCGGUGUAGCAGUGAAAUGCGUAGAUAUCGAGAGGAACACCAGUGGCGAAGGCGAGUCUCUGGACGACUCCUGACACUGAUGCACGAAAGCUAGGGGAGCAAACA
RNAcentral lists this ribosomal RNA (426 nucleotides) under uncultured bacterium. RNAcentral describes it as "bacterial SSU rRNA". It matches the Rfam family "Bacterial small subunit ribosomal RNA", at positions 355 to 774 of the family's 1533-position model. The record is from RNAcentral.